GCCUGGCCCUCAUAAAAACAAUUCAAGGCAGACGGCUCAGUAACACGUAGCCAAUCUAACCUAUGGACGGGGAUAACCUCGGGAAACUGAGGAUAAACCCCGAUAGAUCAUUAUGCCUGGAACGGUUUAUGGUUCAAAUGAUUCGUCGCCGUAGGGUGGGACUGCGGCCUAUCAGCUUGUUGGUGAGGUAAUGGCCCACCAAGGCUAUUACAGGUACGGGCUCUGAAAGGAGUAGCCCGGAAAUGGGUACUGAGACACGGACCCAGGCCCUAUGGGGCGCAGCAGGCGAAAAACCUUUGCAAUGUGCGCAAGCACGACAAGGUUAAUCCGAGUGUUUCCUGUUAAAGGAAUCCUUUGUUAGUUCGUAAAAUCACUAUUGAAUAAGGGGUGGGCAAGUUCUGGUGUCAGCCGCCGCGGUAAAACCAGCACCUCAAGUGGUCAGGAUGAUUAUUGGGCCUAAAGCAUCCGUAGCCUGUUCUGUAAGUUUCCGGUUAAAUCCAUUACCUCAACUAAUGGGCUGCCGAAAAUACUGCAGAACUAGGGAGUGGGAGAGGUAGACGGUACUCGGUAGGAAGGGGUAAAAUCCUUUGAUCUAUUGAUGACCACCUGUGGCGAAGGCGGUCUACCANAACACGUUCGACGGUGAGGGAUGAAAGCUGGGGGAGCAAACCGGAUUACAUACCCGGGUAGUCCCNGCUGUAAACGAUGCAAACUCGGUGAUGCGCUGGCUUGUGGCCAUUGCAAUGCCGCAGGGAAACCGUUAAUUUUGCCGCCUGGGAAGUACGUACGCAAGUAUGAAACUCAAAUGAAUUGACGGAAGCCGAAUUCCAGCACNCUGGGCGGCCG
RNAcentral lists this ribosomal RNA (846 nucleotides) under uncultured archaeon ACA3-0cm. RNAcentral's name for it is "bacterial SSU rRNA". It matches the Rfam family "Archaeal small subunit ribosomal RNA", at positions 53 to 900 of the family's 1478-position model. The record is from RNAcentral.